GACGAACGCUGGCGGCGUGCUUAACACAUGCAAGUCGAACGGAAAGGCCCUGCUUUUGUGGGGUGCUCGAGUGGCGAACGGGUGAGUAACACGUGAGUAACCUGCCCUUGACUUUGGGAUAACUUCAGGAAACUGGGGCUAAUACCGGAUAGGAGCUCCUGCUGCAUGGUGGGGGUUGGAAAGUUUCGGCGGUUGGGGAUGGACUCGCGGCUUAUCAGCUUGUUGGUGGGGUAGUGGCUUACCAAGGCUUUGACGGGUAGCCGGCCUGAGAGGGUGACCGGCCACAUGGGGACUGAGAUACGGCCCAGACUCCUACGGGAGGCAGCAGUGGGGAAUAUUGCACAAUGGGCGGAAGCCUGAUGCAGCAACGCCGCGUGCGGGAUGACGGCCUUCGGGUUGUAAACCGCUUUCGCCUGUGACGAAGCGUGAGUGACGGUAAUGGGGAAAGAAACACCGGCGAACUACGU
This 467-nucleotide ribosomal RNA is filed under the name uncultured bacterium. RNAcentral describes it as "partial 16S ribosomal RNA". It matches the Rfam family "Bacterial small subunit ribosomal RNA", at positions 28 to 506 of the family's 1533-position model. The record is from RNAcentral.